UGAUAAUCAGCGUCAAUGACCACUAGUGCAGUAACUCCUUUCCUGGCUGGACUCCGGCAGGAGGAGCUCCAAAUGACCAGGAGGUUACUCAAGAUCCCAAGACACUACAACAGAUACCAAGGAAGCCCUUGGAGAAGUGUAAUGUCUGAGGCACCACAGGCAGCAAAGGCACACUCGUAUCUGGAAUAGAUGUCCACGGCAACCCAGAAGAAGUAUUGACAGUGUUCUACAAAAAUAUCCAUGUUAUAAAGGACUAAAAAAGGCUGUGGAAAUGUUCUAGAAGCAGAAGACUAAAGAGGUAGGACAAGAAACACAACAUGUGAUCGUAGACAGGAGCCUAUCCUGGAAGGGGCAGAGACUGUAAAGACCAACAUUGGGAUAAUUGAGAAAACUGGAAUGCAGACGGGAGGGUAGGUGCCAAGACCACAUCAACAUCAAAUCUAGUGAGGUCAGUGUACACUUUUGUAGAGACGAUUUUUAUUCUGGGCAAACACAUACUGAAACAUUUACGGGCACAGUGAUAUAGGCAGCCUAUUCUCAGAUGAAUCAGGAAAGAAUAAUAUUAUGAAUACAGACAGAAGGGAAGGGGUAGAGAGAGGCAGAGAUGAAGCAAAAGCCAACCAACAAUGUGUGAAUCACAGUCCAGAAUAUACAGGUGUUUUCUGUACUUUUUUUUGAAUCUAUUGUAGAAGUUCAAAAUUAUUACCAAAUGAUAGAUGGAUUAAGUCCUACCUGAGUGUAGUGAACACAUCCUCAUAGAGAACUUUCUACACUCCCCGUGCCUGGAGGCCUCCAGAGGCUGGAAGUCCGCAGGAAGGCUGACCUCCCCAGUUUGGAUCCCUCAGCUGACUUGUGACUGUGCCUCCUGGCCCAGUUUCAAGAGAAAGAAAUGCUGGGAACCCGCCCCCCACAUACUCAGUUCAUCUGCAUCUUAAAGAGGAGCCACUUUUCCACAGCAGACUAAUUAGAUUUGUCUUUCCUGCGGUCAUUACCAAGAGGUCAUUGGAAGCUGAAUAAAUCAACACAUUCUGAUUUGCAAUUUC
Molecule: long non-coding RNA, 1043 nt
Organism: Suricata suricatta (meerkat)
Lineage: Eukaryota; Metazoa; Chordata; Mammalia; Carnivora; Herpestidae
Exons: 2
Source: RefSeq, a predicted model, not a curated record